This is a long non-coding RNA of Enhydra lutris kenyoni (northern sea otter), 886 nucleotides long. RefSeq lists it as uncharacterized. The record is from RefSeq and is a predicted model, not a curated record. The transcript has 3 exons. NCBI's taxonomy places the organism in Eukaryota, Metazoa, Chordata, Mammalia, Carnivora, Mustelidae.
AGGCUUAACCCACUGAGCCACCCAGGCGCCCCUUUUAUGAAUUUAAAAUGUGUUCGUUGUCAGUUUGGAGCGACUAGAUAAAUAGACUCAAAUGAAAACCUUUCAUGAUCCCAUCAACAGGAGACAGUCACUGUUAAUGUUUUGAUAAACUUCUUGUAGUCAGUUGAUGUAUGUAUAAUUUAGUACAUCUUAUUUAUAUUUCUUUAACAAAGCAAAAUUGGGAGUAUGCUGUUUGAAGCCAUUAGGUUAUAUUACAGGUAUCUUUUGUUAAGGUAGACUGUUUUGUUCCGUGGGGGUAGUUUUUUCAGCUGGCCCCUGAGAACUUAUCUUCCUUUUGUUUUGUUUGUUUUUGGUUUGUUUUUCCCAAUGCGAGGCCUGAAUCCAUGACCCUGAGAUCCAGACCUGAGCCGAGAGCGGGAGUCGGGCACUUACUUAAUCAGCUGAGCCAUCCAAGUGCCCUCCUUUCUUUUGUUUUUAUCCUUAGUUUGCCGUGGUGGCGUUAUUUCUGGACAGGGGACUGAAUGGCGCCAGUAUUGGAAUGAGGCCUUUGCCCACCCUCACCCCCCACUUUUGUUGAGGGGCUGUGACUGCAGGCCUUCGGGGACACCGAGUGGGGCCAGUGGGCUGGAUCUGCCACUUCAUAGUUCCUUCAGAACCUGAUGUUAAGUGGAACUACGCGAUGGUGACGAUUGUCCCUUUGUUCUGGAGACACACGUGAGAGCUGUCACAGAGAGAGCUGCGCGGUAUGCAGGAAGCUGCCAAGUCCGCAGAUCCCGGUCACCCACAGGAAGGCCUGCCCAUGCGGUGUGAGGAAGGAGCUCCCGCAGCCAGGACCCCGCUCCCGGUGUGAGAGGCGCAGCCACGGCCUGGCAGAGUUCGGGGCCAA